CGGGGGGGGCGGCCUACCAUGCAAGUCGAACGGUAGCACAGAGAGCUUGCUCUCGGGUGACGAGUGGCGGACGGGUGAGUAAUGUCUGGGAAACUGCCUGAUGGAGGGGGAUAACUACUGGAAACGGUAGCUAAUACCGCAUAACGUCGCAAGACCAAAGAGGGGGACCUUCGGGCCUCUUGCCAUCGGAUGUGCCCAGAUGGGAUUAGCUAGUAGGUGGGGUAAAGGCUCACCUAGGCGACGAUCCCUAGCUGGUCUGAGAGGAUGACCAGCCACACUGGAACUGAGACACGGUCCAGACUCCUACGGGAGGCAGCAGUGGGGAAUAUUGCACAAUGGGCGCAAGCCUGAUGCAGCCAUGCCGCGUGUAUGAAGAAGGCCUUCGGGUUGUAAAGUACUUUCAGCGGGGAGGAAGGGAGUAAAGUUAAUACCUUUGCUCAUUGACGUUACCCGCAGAAGAAGCACCGGCUAACUCCGUGCCAGCAGCCGCGGUAAUACGGAGGGUGCAAGCGUUAAUCGGAAUUACUGGGCGUAAAGCGCACGCAGGCGGUUUGUUAAGUCAGAUGUGAAAUCCCCGGGGCUCAACCUGGGAACUGCAUCUGAUACUGGCAAGCUUGAGUCUUGUAGAGGGGGGUAGAAUUCCAGGUGUAGCGGUGAAAUGCGUAGAGAUCUGGAGGAAUACCGGUGGCGAAGGCGGCCCCCUGGACGAAGACUGACGCUCAGGUGCGAAAGCGUGGGGAGCAAACAGGAUUAGAUACCCUGGUAGUCCACGCCGUAAACGAUGUCGACUUGGAGGUUGUGCCCUUGAGGCGUGGCUUCCGGAGCUAACGCGUUAAGUCGACCGCCUGGGGGAGUACGGCCGCAAGGUUAAAACUCAAAUGAAUUGACGGGGGGGCCCGCACAAGCGGUGGAGCAUGUGGUUUAAUUCGAUGCAACGCGAAGAACCUUACCUGGUCUUGACAUCCACAGAAGUUUUCAGAGAUGAGAAGGUGCCUUCGGGAACUGUGAGACAGGUGCUGCAUGGCUGUCGUCAGCUCGUGUUGUGAAAUGUUGGGUUAAGUCCCGCAACGAGCGCAACCCUUAUCCUUUGUUGCCAGCGGUCCGGCCGGGAACUCAAAGGAGACUGCCAGUGAUAAACUGGAGGAAGGUGGGGAUGACGUCACCUCAUCAUGGCCCUUACGAGUAGGGCUACACACGUGCUACAAUGGCGCAUACAAAGAGAAGCGACCUCGCGAGAGCAAGCGGACCUCAUAAAGUGCGUCGUAGUCCGGAUUGGAGUCUGCAACUCGACUCCAUGAAGUCGGAAUCGCUAGUAAUCGUGGAUCAGAAUGCCACGGUGAAUACGUUCCCGGGCCUUGUACACACCGCCCGUCACACCAUGGGAGUGGGUUGCAAAAGAAGUAGGUAGCUUAACCUUCGGGAGGGCGCUUACCACUUUGUGAUUCAUGACUGGGGGAAGUCGAACAAGUCGCGUGC
This 1476-nucleotide ribosomal RNA is filed under the name Enterobacter cloacae. RNAcentral's name for it is "bacterial SSU rRNA". It matches the Rfam family "Bacterial small subunit ribosomal RNA". Lineage: Bacteria; Pseudomonadati; Pseudomonadota; Gammaproteobacteria; Enterobacterales; Enterobacteriaceae. The record is from RNAcentral.